RNAcentral lists this ribosomal RNA (461 nucleotides) under uncultured bacterium. Its description in RNAcentral is "bacterial SSU rRNA". It matches the Rfam family "Bacterial small subunit ribosomal RNA", at positions 28 to 517 of the family's 1533-position model. The record is from RNAcentral.
GAUGAACGCUGGCGGCGUGCCUAACACAUGCAAGUCGAGCGAUCUUCUUCGGAAGAGAGCGGCGGACGGGUGAGUAACGCGUGGGUAACCUGCCCUGUACACACGGAUAACAUACCGAAAGGUAUGCUAAUACGAGAUAAUAUGCUUUUGUCGCAUGGUAGAAGUAUCAAAGCUCCGGCGGUACAGGAUGGACCCGCGUCUGAUUAGCUAGUUGGUAAGGUAACGGCUUACCAAGGCGACGAUCAGUAGCCGACCUGAGAGGGUGAUCGGCCACAUUGGAACUGAGACACGGUCCAAACUCCUACGGGAGGCAGCAGUGGGGAAUAUUGCACAAUGGGCGAAAGCCUGAUGCAGCAACGCCGCGUGAGCGAUGAAGGCCUUCGGUCGUAAAGACUCUGUCCUCAAGAAGAUAAUGACGGUACUUGAGGAGGAAGCCCCGGCUAACUACGUGCCAGCAGCCG